CCCGAACGGUGGAUCACUCGGCUCGCGGAUCGAUGAAGACCGCACCCCGCGCUUCCCCGAGGCCCCCGCGCCCUCACACUUCCGACCUCGGAUCAGGCGAGACU
Molecule: ribosomal RNA, 104 nt
Filed under: Bemisia tabaci
Lineage: Eukaryota; Metazoa; Arthropoda; Insecta; Hemiptera; Aleyrodidae
Description: partial 5.8S ribosomal RNA
Source: RNAcentral